RNAcentral lists this ribosomal RNA (246 nucleotides) under Bos gaurus (gaur). RNAcentral's name for it is "partial 16S rRNA". RNAcentral also lists the same sequence under 1 other name. The record is from RNAcentral. Lineage: Eukaryota; Metazoa; Chordata; Mammalia; Artiodactyla; Bovidae.
UUCCCGUGAAGAGGCGGGAAUAUACAAAUAAGACGAGAAGACCCUAUGGAGCUUUAACUAACCAACCCAAAGAAAAUAAACUUAGCCAUUAAGGAAUAACAAUAAUCUCCAUGGGUUGGCAGUUUCGGUUGGGGUGACCUCGGAGAAUAAAAAAUCCUCCGAACGAUUUUAAAAACUAGACCCACAAGUCAAAUCAUUCUAUCGCUCAUUGAUCCAAAAACUUGAUCAACGGAACAAGUUACCCUA